CGGGUGAGUAACACGUAGGUAACCUGCCUUCGAGACCGGGAUAACCUUCCGAAAGGAGGGCUAAUACCGGAUGAGACCACGGGACCCUGGUCCUGCGGUCAAAGGUGGCCUCUGCAUGCAAGCUAUCACUCGAAGAUGGGCCUGCGCACCAUUAGCUAGUUGGCGAGGUAACGGCUCACCAAGGCUAAGAUGGUUAGCUGGUCUGAUAGGAUGACCAGCCACACUGGGACUGACACACGGCCCAGAGUCCUACGGGAGGCAGCAGUGGGGAAUAUUGGACAAUGGGGGAAACCCUGAUCCAGCGACGCCGCGUGGGUGAUGAAGGCCUUCGGGUCGUAAAGCCCUGUCUGGGGGGACGAAUCCCCCGCCGGUGAACAAUCGGCGGGAAGGACGGUACCCCGCAAGGAAGCACCGGCUAACUCUGUGCUCGCAGCCGCGGUAAGACAGAGGGUGCGAGCGUUGGUCGGAAGACUGGGCGUAAAGGGGCGCGUAGGUAUGUCUGUUUCGGUGUGAAAGCCCUCGGCUCGCCGGGGAAGUGCGCCGGAGACUGACAUACUCCAGUACCGGAGAGGAGGGUGGAAUUCCUGGUGUAGCUUGUGAACCUGGCAGAUGUAACGACGAACACCGGUGGCGAAGGCGGCCCUCUGGACGAGUACUGACGGCUGAAGCGCGAAA
This 675-nucleotide ribosomal RNA is filed under the name uncultured bacterium. RNAcentral describes it as "bacterial SSU rRNA". It matches the Rfam family "Bacterial small subunit ribosomal RNA", at positions 103 to 758 of the family's 1533-position model. The record is from RNAcentral.